RNAcentral lists this long non-coding RNA (2524 nucleotides) under Ictidomys tridecemlineatus (thirteen-lined ground squirrel). Its description in RNAcentral is "lncRNA (ENSSTOG00000016300.3)". Lineage: Eukaryota; Metazoa; Chordata; Mammalia; Rodentia; Sciuridae. The record is from RNAcentral.
CUCUCACACCUCCCCAUCCUCCGGGCGGUGACGGGAAGCCCGGAAGGGGCGGGCACAAGGCUGUGGAGCGGUGGGGAGGGGCGUCCGCCGAAAGUGGCGGUUUACUUGAGGUGGUUUCCUUAGUGUCCAGUAUAGUUUGACUCUCCGGCCGAGCUCAGGACUCGUACUGCACCAGUGCUAUCUGGGCUGGAGUGGGCUCCCGCGUCCUCUGAAGCAGGCUUUUAUCUGUCCCAGAACUUGCGGGUUCAGCGUUUCUCUCCAUAUCCGGAUACCGAUUACGAAGUCACAGAUGCAAGGACGUAUGGCUCCCCUCAAGAAAUCUCAAAAUUCCACAAAGUUACCCCUGGCUUUAAACCCCACGAAGAGCAAGGACGUGUUAGCAGUGCUGGCUGAGAGGAAUCAAGCUGUAAUCCCAGUUGGGGUAUGGGUGGAACCUGCCUCCCCAAAUAGUUUGGAAAUCCCAGCAUCUACUUCAGCACAUAUGAUUGAAGAAGAACUAAAGGAACAACUACGAAAAAAACAAGAAGCUUUGAGACAUUUUCAGAGACAAGUCAAACACCGAGUCAAUCAACAAAUUAGACUGAAAAAACAGCAACAGCUUCAGAAGUCUUUUGAAGCAGCAGAAAAAGAAGGUUCUAUAGCCAUGCAAUCUUCAGAUCCAGCACACUUCACUCCUAAAGGGACAAGUAUUUUUCCAAGCAAUUUGAAUUCUGCAAUUGGAAGUUCUGGGUUACCUGCUUCCCAGAUGUUUGGGAGUGCAAUAAAAGAUGGAGAGAAUCAGAAUGAAUUAUUCCAACAACAAGCCCAAGCUCUUAGUCAAACCAUGAAACAAGUACGUCACCGGCUGGCAUCCCAUAAAACUGUGAGUAAAAAAAAGUCAUCAGUGUUUCCAGAUGGUAUGAGGAAAAGCUUUUCUAUCCAACAGGAAUCUGACAGUGAGGAAGUAUUAUCUAUUAUAACAAAUGAGAAAGGGAGAGACGAUUUAUUUUGGGGAGACAAGCAGAGUCUCUUUUCUGAAGACAAUGAUAAGCCUUUUAGCAGAGUUCAGAAAGUAAAAUUCAAAAAUCCAUUAUUUGUUGUCAUAGAAGAGAAAGAACAAAAGCAGUCACAUUUUCAGGGUCUUGAAGCCCAGGAUUAUCCUCUGGAAACCAAAGGUGAUUUGAUAGAAGUUCAGAGUAUUGAGCCUGAAAAGAGUAUUGAGCCAGAUGUCCAGGCUGUUGAUCUGGAAGUUCAAGCUAUUGAGCCAGAAUGCCAAGCCAUUGAAUCAGAAGUCCAGGCUUUUAAGACAGAAACUUGGAGUAUUAUGAUAAAAGCCAGUAGCACUGAGAUAGAAAAUAGGAAUAUUGAGUUAAAAGCACAGGAUUUUCUACCCAAAAACCAGGCCUUUCUGCCCAAAUGUGAGGACCAAGAUUCUCUACCCCAAAACCCCUAUGUUCUCCCUAAAGACCAGAAUAUUCUACCCAAAUAUCAGGACCAGAAUUUUCUGCAUAAAAACCAGGAUUUUCUACCCAGAGACCAGGAUAUUCUACCCAAAUGUCAGGACCAAGACUUUCUACCUGAUAAAGACCAGGAUUUUCUAUCUAGAAACCAGCAUGUGUUCCCUGAAGACCAGAAUAUUCUACACAAAUAUCAGGACCAAGAUUUUCUACAUGAUGACCAGGAUUUUCUAUGUAGAGACCAGUGUGUUCUUCCCAAAGACCAGAAUAUUCUUCUCAAAUGCCAGGACCAGGAUUUUCUCCCUAAAGAUCAGUACAUUCUCCUCUCAGAUGAGAAUCUUCUAUACAAAUGUCAGAAGCAGGAUAUUCCACUCAAAGAUCAGGAAAAAUAUAUCUGGCAGCCAUCAUUGGCUUUGACAGUUGAAAGAUGGAAAAAGGAGUGGCCUACAAGAACAGAAACAUAUCUUUCACAUAGGUUCCAAGGCCAGCCCUCUACUGGGGAUCAGUCAGAGAAAAAGGAGGAAGAGGAUCAACAGGAAAAAGUUCAUUUUCUGGAGCCAUUUUCUGAUGAGGAAGGGAGAGAAGACUUUUCUCUGCACAGUAACUAUGGGCAAGCAUCACAUGAUAUGACAGAUGAGAAAUGGAGAAGAGAGUUGCUUCCAGAGUACCACAGAUAUGGUUUACAUAAAAUCCAGGAUCCUGGCUCUGCCAGAGAUCAGAGCUUAAACUUUAGGCAGCAGCCAUCUGUUGGAACAGCUGAAAGAUGCCAAGAAGACUUGCUUCUGAAUCACCAUCAGCAUCUUGCACCCAAGCAUCAGAGAGACACUUGCAGGAGACGACAGGUUUAUAAUGAUUAUCAGUCAGGACUAAGCAAUGAAUUCCAAACUCCAUUGGCAUUUCAGUCUGGAGUAGAUAAAGAGGAAGACAAGAAAGAGCGUCAAAAGCAGUACCUGAGACACAGAAGACUUUUCAUGGAUAUUGAAAGAGAACAAGUAAAAGAACAAAAAAGACAAAAGGAACAAAAGAAGAAAAUUGAAAAGUAAGUUCUUUGAUUUGAUCCUCAUUCUGAGUCUUAAAUUACCUGUUAA